This 554-nucleotide ribosomal RNA is filed under the name Escherichia coli. RNAcentral's name for it is "partial 23S ribosomal RNA". It matches the Rfam family "Bacterial large subunit ribosomal RNA", at positions 711 to 1262 of the family's 2925-position model. Lineage: Bacteria; Pseudomonadati; Pseudomonadota; Gammaproteobacteria; Enterobacterales; Enterobacteriaceae. The record is from RNAcentral.
AGACCCGAAACCCGGUGAUCUAGCCAUGGGCAGGUUGAAGGUUGGGUAACACUAACUGGAGGACCGAACCGACUAAUGUUGAAAAAUUAGCGGAUGACUUGUGGCUGGGGGUGAAAGGCCAAUCAAACCGGGAGAUAGCUGGUUCUCCCCGAAAGCUAUUUAGGUAGCGCCUCGUGAAUUCAUCUCCGGGGGUAGAGCACUGUUUCGGCAAGGGGGUCAUCCCGACUUACCAACCCGAUGCAAACUGCGAAUACCGGAGAAUGUUAUCACGGGAGACACACGGCGGGUGCUAACGUCCGUCGUGAAGAGGGAAACAACCCAGACCGCCAGCUAAGGUCCCAAAGUCAUGGUUAAGUGGGAAACGAUGUGGGAAGGCCCAGACAGCCAGGAUGUUGGCUUAGAAGCAGCCAUCAUUUAAAGAAAGCGUAAUAGCUCACUGGUCGAGUCGGCCUGCGCGGAAGAUGUAACGGGGCUAAACAAUGCACCGAAGCUGCGGCAGCGACACUGUGUGUUGUUGGGUAGGGGAGCGUUCUGUAAGCCUGUGAAGGUGUACU